Sinocyclocheilus anshuiensis is the source of this 335-nucleotide long non-coding RNA. RefSeq lists it as uncharacterized. The record is from RefSeq and is a predicted model, not a curated record. NCBI's taxonomy places the organism in Eukaryota, Metazoa, Chordata, Actinopteri, Cypriniformes, Cyprinidae. The transcript has 2 exons.
AGAUGAGUUGUAUUCCCAGAAACUCAAGUACAAAGCCAUCAGCGAGGAGCUGGACCACGCUCUCAACGACAUGACUUCAAUAUAAAUUGUUCAUCAAAGAUGCGUCCCGCCGGCUGAACGACUUCACUCUGCUCUUUCCAGCCUUUCUUUUCCUCUCAUCCCUCUACAUUGUGUUUUGUUAUCCAUCUAUUCUUGUACAGAACCUUUAAUUAUUUUGGCUUUAUGUAAAACUAUGUAAACAUCUCAUUUUUGUCCUUUUUGUUCUUUACUUCCUUUUCAGUUCUAUGUGCUUUUAUUGCUGUGGCUCUAAUAAAGUCAGAAGCACUGGUAGAAGU